RNAcentral lists this ribosomal RNA (254 nucleotides) under uncultured bacterium. RNAcentral's name for it is "partial 16S ribosomal RNA". It matches the Rfam family "Bacterial small subunit ribosomal RNA", at positions 524 to 777 of the family's 1533-position model. The record is from RNAcentral.
UACAGAGGGUGCAAGCGUUAAUCGGAAUCACUGGGCGUAAAGCGCACGUAGGCGGAUCUUUAAGUCAGAGGUGAAAUCCCAAGGCUCAACCUUGGAACUGCCUUUGAUACUGGGGAUCUUGAGUCCGGGAGAGGUGAGUGGAACUGCGAGUGUAGAGGUGAAAUUCGUAGAUAUUCGCAAGAACACCAGUGGCGAAGGCGGCUCACUGGUCCGGUACUGACGCUGAGGUGCGAAAGCGUGGGGAGCAAACGGGG